AGGUCUGCAGCUCACCUAGGCGUCGCCAGUUCAUAUGAACCACGCUAAACCUGCCA
This is a non-coding RNA of Janthinobacterium sp. B9-8, 56 nucleotides long. The record is from Rfam. Lineage: Bacteria; Pseudomonadati; Pseudomonadota; Betaproteobacteria; Burkholderiales; Oxalobacteraceae.